Molecule: ribosomal RNA, 447 nt
Filed under: uncultured bacterium
Lineage: Bacteria
Description: bacterial SSU rRNA
Rfam family: Bacterial small subunit ribosomal RNA
Source: RNAcentral
UCGGGAAUUUUGGGCAAUGGGCGAAAGCCUGACCCAGCAACGCCGCGUGAAGGAUGAAGUAUUUCGGUAUGUAAACUUCGAAAGAAUAGGAAGAAUAAAUGACGGUACUAUUUAUAAGGUCCGGCUAACUCUGUGCCAGCAGCCGCGGUAAUACAGAGGUGGCAAGCGUUGUUCGGAAUUACUGGGCGUAAAGGGCGCGUAGGCGGCCCUCUAAGUCAGGCGUGAAAUCCCCCGGCUUAACCUGGGAACUGCGUCUGAUACUGGAGGGCUUGAGUAUGGGAGAGGGAUGUAGAAUUCCAGGUGUAGCGGUGAAAUGCGUAGAUAUCUGGAGGAAUACCGGUGGCGAAGGCGGCAUCCUGGACCAUUACUGACGCUGAGGCGCGAAAGCUAGGGGAGCAAACGGGAUUAGAUACCCAAGUAGUCCCUGAGCGGGCUGGCAAGGCGCAU